UUGGUCAUAGCUCAGUCAGUAGAGCAUGAGACUCUUAAUCACAGAGUCAUGGGUUCGAGCCGAGCAUUGGGCAAA
Podarcis lilfordi (Lilford's wall lizard) is the source of this 75-nucleotide non-coding RNA. The record is from the annotation of a GenBank genome assembly. Lineage: Eukaryota; Metazoa; Chordata; Lepidosauria; Squamata; Lacertidae.